GGGGCUGUAGCUCAUCUGGUAGAGCGUUUGAAUGGCAUUCAAAAGGUGAGGGGUUCGAGUCCCCUCAGCUCCA
Molecule: transfer RNA, 73 nt
Filed under: bacterium
Lineage: Bacteria
Also listed under: 4 other names
Description: tRNA-Ala
Rfam family: tRNA
About the family: Transfer RNA (tRNA) molecules are approximately 80 nucleotides in length. Their secondary structure includes four short double-helical elements and three loops (D, anti-codon, and T loops).
Source: RNAcentral